Molecule: ribosomal RNA, 253 nt
Filed under: uncultured bacterium
Lineage: Bacteria
Description: partial 16S ribosomal RNA
Rfam family: Bacterial small subunit ribosomal RNA
Source: RNAcentral
UACAGAGGUCUCAAGCGUUGUUCGGAUUCAUUGGGCGUAAAGGGUGCGUAGGUGGCGCCGUAAGUCGGGUGUGAAAUUUCGGAGCUUAACUCCGAAACUGCAUUCGAUACUGCGGUGCUUGAGGACUGGAGAGGAGACUGGAAUUCAUGGUGUAGCAGUGAGAUGCGUAGAGAUCAUGAGGAAGACCAGUGGCGAAGGCGGGUCUCUGGACAGUUCCUGACACUGAGGCACGAAGGCCAGGGGAGCAAACGGG